GCCGGGGUGGCGGAAUUGGUAGACGCAAGGGACUUAAAAUCCCUCGGUUGGCAACAACCGUGCCGGUUCGAGUCCGGCCCUCGGCA
Molecule: transfer RNA, 86 nt
Filed under: Clostridiales bacterium
Lineage: Bacteria; Bacillati; Bacillota; Clostridia; Eubacteriales
Also listed under: 1 other name
Description: tRNA-Leu
Rfam family: tRNA
About the family: Transfer RNA (tRNA) molecules are approximately 80 nucleotides in length.
Source: RNAcentral